UUUCUUCAAAUGUGAACAGAGCCUAGGAGGACAUGCGUCACUGGUAACGGUGGGGUGUGAAGCUUCUCUGACAACUUAGCCUCUCGGAUGUUUCGGGCACACCGGUCUGUGAGGAAGGGUGUGGUACUCCUAGCAGCAAGGGGGUACGGAG
Candidatus Burkholderia verschuerenii is the source of this 151-nucleotide non-coding RNA. NCBI's taxonomy places the organism in Bacteria, Pseudomonadati, Pseudomonadota, Betaproteobacteria, Burkholderiales, Burkholderiaceae. The record is from Rfam.